CCCAACUCUCAUACACUGGCCUUCCAUAGCACCAAUCAUACUGCCUCUCUCGCCCGUAGCCAAGCUGGUAACACGGUCCCCCACCACGCCCCUCAGAACAUUCCGUGCAACAUGCCCUAACAGGUGAGUAACACGGUCCACCACCACGCCCCUCGGAACAUUCCCUGCAACAUGCCCUAACAGGUGAGUAACACGGUCCCCCACCACGCCCCUCGGAACAUUCCCUGCAACAUGUCCUAAUUGGUGAGUAACACGGUCCCCCACCACGCCCCUCGGAACAUUCCCUGCAACAUGUCCUAACGGGUAGGUAACACGGAACGGGCUCCGGAGCCGGUGCCGGUGCCGGAGGCGGCGGUGGGGCUGGUGAUGGUUUUGGUUGGGGAGCCGGUGCCGGGGGUGGUGGCGAUGGUGAAGGUUUCGGUGGUGGUGGUGACGGUUUUGGUUCCGGAGCCGGUGCCGGCGGUGGUUUUGGUUUUGGCGGCGGCGGCGGCUUUGGCUUUGGUGGUUCCAGGAUUUCAAUAGUCUUGAUUGAACCAUCACCUUUGCAGCAUAGCUUGUCCCUGAUCUUUUCAGGACUGCAGCACACUACUUUUAUUGUCACCGUAUUCGUCUUCUCAUCGAAAAACUGUUCUUGUAUUUCUUUGGUCAAAAAGUUCAAACACAAUAUCUUAGCCCACCAUCCGCCAGCCAUUUUUUUAUUUGCAAACACAAAAUAAACAAUUCUACUUGCGCCUCACCAAAUGACACGCGAAUUCAGAAUUUUAUGCCAUUAUAAAACAUUUUACGAAACCAUAAUAUAUAAUAUAUGUAAAUGGACAUGGCCAGCGAUCAGAGAGACACUUACGUGGGAAUUUGCACAGUACUUUCUUGACUUUCUUGUAGCACUUUGAGCACUGAAG
RNAcentral lists this long non-coding RNA (899 nucleotides) under Citrus maxima (pomelo). Its description in RNAcentral is "long non-coding RNA (CMAX_LNC000494)". Lineage: Eukaryota; Viridiplantae; Streptophyta; Magnoliopsida; Sapindales; Rutaceae. The record is from RNAcentral.